RNAcentral lists this long non-coding RNA (1530 nucleotides) under Nicotiana benthamiana. RNAcentral's name for it is "long non-coding RNA (NBEN_LNC041457)". The record is from RNAcentral. Lineage: Eukaryota; Viridiplantae; Streptophyta; Magnoliopsida; Solanales; Solanaceae.
GCUAUUUCCUUUCAUUUCUUCAAUCAUUAGCAGUUAGCUUUUAAAUUCAAAAAAAAAAAAAAAACAAUUUUUUUUUACUGUUUCAUUAAGUUUGAAUGUUUAUUUUAUCUUCUGGAUAUUGAAUCAGCUGUUUAUAGUUCCAGCCUUUGCUACUUUAGUUGAUUUCCAGUGGAAUUACUGGUUUGAAUCUAGUUUUGAGAGUCUACUGGACAUUUGUGUGUUAGUGAUUAUUCUGUGUUCAAUUGAAGUUCGGGUGAGUUUGUCCAAGUUGGUUUUGGGCUGAUUUGGUAGCUGCUAUUGGACUGUUGAGUACUUCUGGGUCUUUGAACUCGUUCCUGGGUUUUGGAUUGUCUUUGAUUCCAACUCGUGCUUGCUGUUGCUGUUUGUUAACUGUUGGAACUGCUACUGCCACUGAUUCUCAUCUUAUAUUCUCAUCCAAUCUCAGGUACACACUGGAAAUUCAUAUGACGAUUGACUUGAAAAAGGGAAUAAAAUUGUUACUUAGUUGAUCCUGAAGCAUGUUGCGUGAAUAGUUGUGUGUUGUUAGUUAAAUAGGCUUGAGGCAUAAUUGGUCUGCCCGUUUGAAAUCAGUUCGUGUGCACAGGAAUUCAGCAUUGUCUAAUUUAUACUGAAAUAGAUUAUUUUCUAUAUUGUUAUGUCAUUUGAAUUCAAUUGUGAUACAUGUUUUAGUAUCUGAAUGUGGUAUAUGAAUGUUAGAAUCUGAUUGUAAAACUGUUACUGCUGAACUCGAAUUAUGAGUUAAAUGUCUGGCCAAAUAUGGUAGCUAUAGAAGUAAAAUCAGAUAGUUUUAUGCCAACUUCUGUAGUCAGGUUUGAAGCAAUGAAUUCAUUUAAGUAAUUAAAACGCUGGUUCAGUAAUGUUGACUUGAGUUUAUCUAAAAUAAUUAGUUUGCCUUGAAUUCACAACUGCAUUUGUGCCUAUAUAGCGUUGAAAGAAAUCAUGAAAUUGAGUUAUUGUACUUGUUGAUUGAAUUCACAUGUUUAGUUAAGUUUACAUCUUAGUGACAUUUAAGAACUUACUGCUAAGCAUAUAAGUAGACAAUUUACGUUGGAAUUAAAAUCCAAGUGAUGAAUGACCCUUUUGUUAUAAUCAUUGAAUGCUUGAAGAACAAACUUCAGUGGGUUUGACCCAGUUAAAUAAAGACACUAUAUGGUCGGUCACUGUAAUUAACUUGGGCUUUAAGUGCCUUAACAGGUGGCCCAGGUUGGUGGCUGGCCUGCCCGUUACGAAUGCUGGCAUGUUGAAAUUCAAGUGGGCUAUGUUUAAGGCCCAAGCUGUUUGAGUAAAUAAUUCAUAGGCCCUAAUAUAGUAAAUAAAGGGAUUUAUACUUAUCUAUACCAUAUAGCAAAACUUAUUACCUCCCAUGUUUAAGGUUUGUGUUUAUUACAUUUAAGUAUACAAAAUUUCAAUUUAUGUACCAUAAUUCAAAUUAAGGGUAUAAUUAUUGCUUCAUUUAUUCUAGGCAUGGUUUUAGUAACAUAUAUUCAUUUUCCCUUUUUUUCCUCCCCU